Molecule: ribosomal RNA, 735 nt
Filed under: uncultured bacterium
Lineage: Bacteria
Description: bacterial SSU rRNA
Rfam family: Bacterial small subunit ribosomal RNA
Source: RNAcentral
AACAGGAUUAGAUACCCUGGUAGUCCAUGCCGUAAACGUUGGGCACUAGGUGUGGGGACCAUUCCACGGUUUCCGCGCCGCAGCUAACGCAUUAAGUGCCCCGCCUGGGGAGUACGGCCGCAAGGCUAAAACUCAAAGGAAUUGACGGGGGCCCGCACAAGCGGCGGAGCAUGCGGAUUAAUUCGAUGCAACGCGAAGAACCUUACCAAGGCUUGACAUGUUCUCGAUCACCGUAGAGAUACGGUUUCCCCUUUGGGGCGGGUUCACAGGUGGUGCAUGGUUGUCGUCAGCUCGUGUCGUGAGAUGUUGGGUUAAGUCCCGCAACGAGCGCAACCCUCGUUCCAUGUUGCCAGCACGUAAUGGUGGGGACUCAUGGGAGACUGCCGGGGUCAACUCGGAGGAAGGUGAGGACGACGUCAAAUCAUCAUGCCCCUUAUGUCUUGGGCUUCACGCAUGCUACAAUGGCCGGUACAAUGGGUUGCGAUACUGUGAGGUGGAGCUAAUCCCAAAAAGCCGGUCUCAGUUCGGAUUGGGGUCUGCAACUCGACCCCAUGAAGUCGGAGUCGCUAGUAAUCGCAGAUCAGCAACGCUGCGGUGAAUACGUUCCCGGGCCUUGUACACACCGCCCGUCAAGUCACGAAAGUUGGUAACACCCGAAGCCGGUGGCCUAACCCUUGUGGGGGGAGCCGUCGAAGGUGGGACCAGCGAUUGGGACUAAGUCGUAACAAGGUAACC